UACGUAGGGUGCGAGCGUUAAUCGGAAUUACUGGGCGUAAAGCGUGCGCAGGCGGUGAUGUAAGACCGAUGUGAAAUCCCCGGGCUUAACCUGGGAACUGCAUUGGUGACUGCAUUGCUGGAGUAUGGCAGAGGGGGGUGGAAUUCCACGUGUAGCAGUGAAAUGCGUAGAGAUGUGGAGGAACACCGAUGGCGAAGGCAGCCCCCUGGGCCAAUACUGACGCUCAUGCACGAAAGCGUGGGGAGCAAACGGG
This 253-nucleotide ribosomal RNA is filed under the name uncultured bacterium. RNAcentral describes it as "partial 16S ribosomal RNA". It matches the Rfam family "Bacterial small subunit ribosomal RNA", at positions 524 to 776 of the family's 1533-position model. The record is from RNAcentral.